UGGAAAGAAAUGAAAAUGAAAUGUGCCACCAC
This 32-nucleotide non-coding RNA is filed under the name Mus musculus (house mouse). Lineage: Eukaryota; Metazoa; Chordata; Mammalia; Rodentia; Muridae. The record is from RNAcentral.